RNAcentral lists this ribosomal RNA (447 nucleotides) under Takydromus amurensis (Amur grass lizard). RNAcentral describes it as "partial 12S ribosomal RNA". It matches the Rfam family "Bacterial small subunit ribosomal RNA", at positions 522 to 1201 of the family's 1533-position model. Lineage: Eukaryota; Metazoa; Chordata; Lepidosauria; Squamata; Lacertidae. The record is from RNAcentral.
UACACGAAAAGCCCAAAACAACGACCAACGGCGUAAAAUGUGACUAGAGAUUUUUCUAAUUAAAAAUACCAAAACUUACCACCCAGUUGUAAAAUACUCAAGGAGAUAAGGAAAGCCAACACAGGUAUUUUUAAUAGGUACCCUUGAAUUCACUAAAGCUUAGAAACAAACUAGGAUUAGAUACCCUACUAUGCUAAGCACUAAACACUGAGUGAACACUAUACAACACCCUCCGCCAGAGGAUUACAAAUGAAAAAUUUAAAACUCAAAGGACUUGACGGUGUCCCACAUCAACCUAGAGGAGCCUGUCCUAUAAUCGAUAACCCUCGCUUCACCCGACCUUAACUAGCCCACUCCAGCCUAUAUACCGCCGUCGACAGCUUACCCCAUGAGGGAUGAAUAGUAAGCAUAACAGGGCCCCCCUAGCACGUCAGGGCAAGUCGUAAC